ACCGCUGGAAGAAAAGUAGAUGCCCGGGACAAUGUAACGCUAAUUGCGAUGAAAAAAUUCGUCUUUUCGCCUUAAGUCAGCCGCUUUGCCUUCCCGGUUGCAAUGAAGAAGACUCACAAGUCACCGAAUUGAGUUGUUAUAGUGAAAUUUUUCGCAUCAAGAAAAAAAAGGGUUGACAAAUAUGAAAGAUGUCCGUUUUCAUGUUGGUGUGUUAAAGACUUGAAAAAGAAGCUCGUUGCAGAAAUUCUACGGGAAUGAACCAAAUGAUGCAUUUAUGUACUAUACGAAUAAAAAUAGUGGAUUCAAAAAGGUUUCUGGCUGGGACAAUGCACCGAAAAAUCGUAAUGAUUGGAAACACGAAACCGAAUUUCACUCUACAGUCUCAUUCCUGUGUUUUACGGUAUUAAUAACUUAAAAAAUUGAAGUGCAUAUCUGGGCUCCCUUCCUUUCCGUAGCCCCGUUUCCCCUUGACUCAUAAUAAGCCCGUAGGGGGUCAUGCCCCUACUGUACGGUAUAUUUAAAAACAACAUAUACCGAGGUUUGGAGGGCUCUGGCCGGAAAGGGGACGUGGGGUGUCCGCUUAGUCCGAUGAUGUGUUCACGGAGGGCGACGUGGCUACCCACAAAUCCGAAUUAAAGGUUAAUCGCUCCUGUAAAAAUGUUCCAAAUCUUCAGCUCUUCUUCCGGCUUCUCUUAGCCAAGCACCGGGUAAUCUCCCCGGUGGGUCAACUAAGGCAGUGUCUCCCCCUGCCUUGGUUGGCGGCAACUUUUGAAAGGGUUAUUUUGCCUUUCAAAAGUUGCAAAAAUAAUUAUAUUGUGGAGAAAAUUCAAUAAAAACGUUUUAAA
This is a long non-coding RNA of Daphnia carinata, 845 nucleotides long. RefSeq lists it as uncharacterized. The record is from RefSeq and is a predicted model, not a curated record. Lineage: Eukaryota; Metazoa; Arthropoda; Branchiopoda; Diplostraca; Daphniidae. The transcript has 3 exons.